Molecule: ribosomal RNA, 785 nt
Filed under: uncultured Sulfitobacter sp.
Lineage: Bacteria; Pseudomonadati; Pseudomonadota; Alphaproteobacteria; Rhodobacterales; Roseobacteraceae
Description: bacterial SSU rRNA
Rfam family: Bacterial small subunit ribosomal RNA
Source: RNAcentral
GGCGGCAGGCCUAACACAUGCAAGUCGAGCGCAGUCCUUCGGGACCGAGCGGCGGACGGGUUAGUAACGCGUGGGAACAUACCCUUUUCUACGGAAUAGCCUCGGGAAACUGAGAGUAAUACCGUAUAAGCCCUUCGGGGGAAAGAUUUAUCGGGAAAGGAUUGGCCCGCGUUAGAUUAGAUAGUUGGUGGGGUAAUGGCCUACCAAGUCUACGAUCUAUAGCUGGUUUUAGAGGAUGAUCAGCAACACUGGGACUGAGACACGGCCCAGACUCCUACGGGAGGCAGCAGUGGGGAAUCUUAGACAAUGGGCGCAAGCCUGAUCUAGCCAUGCCGCGUGUGUGAUGAAGGUCUUAGGAUCGUAAAGCACUUUCGCCAGGGAUGAUAAUGACAGUACCUGGUAAAGAAACCCCGGCUAACUCCGUGCCAGCAGCCGCGGUAAUACGGAGGGGGUUAGCGUUGUUCGGAAUUACUGGGCGUAAAGCGUACGUAGGCGGAUCAGAAAGUAGGGGGUGAAAUCCCAGGGCUCAACCCUGGAACUGCCUCCUAAACUCCUGGUCUUGAGUUCGAGAGAGGUGAGUGGAAUUCCAAGUGUAGAGGUGAAAUUCGUAGAUAUUUGGAGGAACACCAGUGGCGAAGGCGGCUCACUGGCUCGAUACUGACGCUGAGGUACGAAAGUGUGGGGAGCAAACAGGAUUAGAUACCCUGGUAGUCCACACCGUAAACGAUGAAUGCCAGUCGUCGGGCAGUAUACUGUUCGGUGACACACCUAACGGAUUAAGCAUC